Molecule: long non-coding RNA, 2512 nt
Organism: Myxocyprinus asiaticus (Chinese sucker)
Lineage: Eukaryota; Metazoa; Chordata; Actinopteri; Cypriniformes; Catostomidae
Exons: 3
Source: RefSeq, a predicted model, not a curated record
GGAAAGCUAAUAAUAUUCUUCAAGCUUGUUUUCAUUAUUUUCACCCGAUAUUAUGAGCAUUUGACUGCAAAAGCCGUCGCAAUGUGAGUUACCCCGGGAAGAGGUCCUCCUGUCUCAGCGGCAAGCAAGGGACCCGGUGAUGGCGUUGGCGUACCGUUUUAUAUCUUCGCGGGCUUCCGGUUAUGGCCAUAGACCUCACGGUGACGUCAUCACGCCGGACUUCUUCGGAUGAUUGACAGGGAGAAAACCAACCAGAACGUUAAACCUGCGAAAGUAAAAGUGAAAGACAGAAACCGAGAGGAAAAAAAAGAGCACUCCAAAAGAAACAACACAUUAACGUCACAUAGGGACGUAACAGUCCAUGUUGCACCAUUACAGCCCAAUAAAAAGAAGAGCUUGGUUGCUGCACAGAAUUACUAGAUCUUGAACAUGAACUUCUUUAGAACCUUGAUAUCAGCAGCAGUUCUGCUUACAUCUGAAGGGUUCUAUGUACAAGGGCCUCUUUAUCCUCUGGUUGCACAACUAGGGGGAUCCACAAUACUGUCCUGCUUUGUGGAAAACCCAUUACCUCUGGAGGAGCUGGAGGUUGAAUGGAAAAGGACAGAUGAACAGACAGUAGUGCAACUGUUUCAGAAUGGAGAGGUUAGACCUGAGGCUCAGUAUCAGUCUUACAGGAACAGAGCACAUUUUUUUUUCUGACCAGAUAUUUAAAGUGAACUUUUCAAUUCUGUUGGAAAACAUAUCUGUUGCAGACACGGGUAUCUACAAAUGUGUAGUUUACUCCUAUGAGGAAGUUGGGGAAAUCUCUGUUCAAAUUAAACAUGUAGGUAAGUAUUUAUCCCUAUUUAAUACAAAUCUUUUAAUAUGUCAAUGUGUUUAUCAUACAAGUAGGAUACAGACUGGUACCAAAUGAGGCUUUCAUUCACAAAAAGUAUUUGGACACUUCAGUCACACUUAAAAAUGUCUGAAUGUCUUUGCAUUAUAUAACAAAAUAUCAAACCAAAUGGCGUUUAGUUUUAAGACAUAGCACAAACACAUUUCAAGAAUCUUCUUUCACAAAAACAAGUUUAAUUUUGUAAUUAUUUAGCAAUAGAGAUAUUGUUCAGAAUUAAGACAAAAAUAUUUGAUCACACUGUGGACUUUGUGAAACACGUUGACUUGAGGUGAACUGACUUCACACAUCCACUAAAAUGACCUUAAGACCAGUUGGUUCAAAGUAAUUUAAAAGCAAAAAUGGCUAAGAAAAAUGAAGUUAGUUCUGAGAAAAGCUCUUGAAUUAUUUCUUUGCAGAUGCAACUUGGUUUGGUAUUUUGUAUCUAAUGCAAUUAUGUUUUUUUAACUGUGACUUAAGUGUCCAAAUACUUUGGGGGUCACUGUAGAUAUUUAAAACAUAUUACUAAUUGCUGCUAUAUUUUAUGUAAUAAAGAUGACCAUAUUUUUAUUUUGUAUAUUACAGAGCAUGUAGUUGUGACAAGAGAACAACAUGUUGUGUUUGCGUAUAUUGGUGAGGAGGUUGUUCUUAAUUGCAUGGUUGACUCAUAUAUUCCUCCUCAACAUUUUGAGGAGGUCACUUGUAAAAAGGUUGACAAAAGUUCAGACAUCAUCCCUGUGCUGCUUUUCCAAAAUGGGACAGUAUAUCCAGAAUCCAUUCAAAAGAGUUAUAGAGACAGGGCUGACUCUUCAUUGAAGAAAUUCCCAAAGGCAACUUUUCAAUGAGACAAAAAAAUGUCCAGACUGCUGACAAGGGGAAUACAUGUGUGAAGUUCACACAGAAUAUUCAGUGACCUCCACAACUGUGGAAAUAGGGCAGCUGGGUAAGUCAUGUGUGGAGUUGAAAUUCACUUUUAUACAUUAACUUUGAAAAAAUACUGUAUGGAUGAUUUAUAUAUAUAUAUCAGCCACAACAUUAAAACCACCUGCCUAAUAUUGUGUAGGUCCCCCUCGUGUCGCCAAAACAGCACCAACCCGCAUCUCAGAAUAGCAUUCAGAGAUGAUAUUCUUCAUCUCAGAAUUCUUCUAUUAGCUAAGUAACUAAUAAAUUAAACAGUUGCACUUGAGAUAUGAUGUUCCUGUUCCUCCACAGACACCCGCACAAGACCUGUGUACAUACAUUAUUUGCAAGUUGUCUGUCCCAACAUCUGUUUAUUUAUUGCAUUUUCUCUAUGGGGUGUAAUUGAGGGUAAGCAUCCCAAGCAUUUUAUCUAAGUUUACAUUCUCAAAUAAUAAUAAUAAUAAUAAUCAUUAUAUAUAUAUAUAUAUAUAUAUAUAUAUAUAUAUAUAUAUAUAUAUAUUCAUAUUCAUCAUUUUGAGCUUCUGCUUUGCUCAGGGUCUGUAGUUGAGGUGACAAUGUGUGCAACAAUUAAUAUGACGAGGAUCAUUUUGUUAUUCCUCAUGGCCCCAUAUUUUCACUGGAAUAGAGUGGUUUCAGGUAUGUACAUUUUAAUGAAAGACUGUUUUUCUGUUUCUGUUCAUCUUUUAUUCUGUGAAGCAUUUUAUGUUCUAAAGCCAUGAA